GUAGGGGGCAAGCGUUAUCCGGAUUUACUGGGUGUAAAGGGAGCGUAGACGGCUGUGCAAGUCUGAAGUGAAAGGCAGGGGCUCAACCUGUGGACUGCUUUGGAAACUGUGCAGCUAGAGUGUCGGAGAGGUAAGUGGAAUUCCUAGUGUAGCGGUGAAAUGCGUAGAUAUUAGGAGGAACACCAGUGGCGAAGGCGGCUUACUGGACGAUGACUGACGUUGAGGCUCGAAAGCGUGGGGAGCAAACAGGAUUAGAUACCCUGGUAGUCCACGCCGUAAACGAUGACUGCUAGGUGUCGGGUAGCAAAGCUAUUCGGUGCCGCAGUUAACGCAAUAAGCAGUCCACCUGGGGAGUACGUUCGCAAGAAUGAAACUCAA
RNAcentral lists this ribosomal RNA (378 nucleotides) under uncultured bacterium. RNAcentral's name for it is "bacterial SSU rRNA". It matches the Rfam family "Bacterial small subunit ribosomal RNA", at positions 527 to 904 of the family's 1533-position model. The record is from RNAcentral.